RNAcentral lists this ribosomal RNA (231 nucleotides) under uncultured bacterium. RNAcentral's name for it is "partial 16S ribosomal RNA". It matches the Rfam family "Bacterial small subunit ribosomal RNA", at positions 565 to 793 of the family's 1533-position model. The record is from RNAcentral.
GAGAGUGCAGGCGGUUUUCUAAGUCUGAUGUGAAAGCCUUCGGCUUAACCGGAGAAGUGCAUCGGAAACUGGAUAACUUGAGUGCAGAAGAGGGUAGUGGAACUCCCAUGUGUAGCGGUGGAAUGCGUAGAUAUAUGGAAGAACACCAGUGGCGAAGGCGGCUACCUGGUCUGCAACUGACGCUGAGACUCGAAAGCAUGGGUACGCGAACAGGAUUAGAUACCCUGGUAG